UAUAAUACAUGUGAUACCCAACUUAUUUGAUAUCAAACGGAUCCUAGUAUAUCACUAGGUAUUUAACGUACGCGUUUGUCAGUUUGCAGAGUUUAAAGUUACCGUAGAUUUCAUGCUCGCUGCCUACCAGCUUCGCGGAGAUGUCAAAAUUCGAACAAGAAAACCGACAAUUUUUCUAAGACUGCGGUCUUAUUUCCUUAAAAAAUUUUUAACAAGUCGUUUCUAUCUCAUUCUUUACCCAAGGUGAGAAUCGUACGGUUUAACGAUCAUUGGCGGCCUUUUAUAGGUUUACACGAAUCGUUUCAUCCUGCAGAUGACAUUGCGCACCUCGCAUUUAAUGAAACAAA
Molecule: long non-coding RNA, 347 nt
Organism: Athalia rosae (coleseed sawfly)
Lineage: Eukaryota; Metazoa; Arthropoda; Insecta; Hymenoptera; Athaliidae
Exons: 2
Source: RefSeq, a predicted model, not a curated record